Ictalurus punctatus (channel catfish) is the source of this 1029-nucleotide long non-coding RNA. NCBI's taxonomy places the organism in Eukaryota, Metazoa, Chordata, Actinopteri, Siluriformes, Ictaluridae. The record is from Ensembl.
UAAAAACCUUUACGCUCUCAGAGCACCGGGAAAUCGGCGUCAUACUUGCCGUUUCGGGAAAGGGCUAUGGCAAAUAUUCUCAGUGACAGACUGUAGUUCUGAAAAGGGAGGGAUUGCUAUUAAAUCUUCUUAAAUGAAUUAGGAUUAAGCUCAAACCUCCUAAAAAGUAAAAAGUUACGGAGUCCUCCUCUGCAACGACCACACACAGACCGCUGAAGGCUGCUAGACGCUGCCGUGUUUUCAAAACAAACUAAUAAACCAACUUACGGCCAAACUUACGACAGUGUCGAUAAAACGCGAAGGCCAGCAUUCCAGCUGCAAGCACAAUAAUCAUGCAGUUACAGGAAAUUAAUCAGUGACGAGGUGGCGUGAUGAAGCUUUCCAGCUUGCAACAGAAAACCCUCACAGAAAACACACCAUGAUGAUGACAGGAACCAGAAGUGCUACUGCCUCCUUGUGGCCUCUCAGAGAAUUUUUACAGGAACUAAUUUGGCAGAAGAUUUUAUCCAAAGAAGCUCAAAAGGCCACAGGGAGCCUGGAGCUCAUGCCAGGGAUCUUGGGAACAAGGCAUUCUGGACGGGAUGUCAAGACAUCGUAGGGUUCACGCACACACUCGCUCACUCACACACACACAUACACACACACACACACUUUAGAGAUGCCAAAUCAGCCUACAGCGCAUGUCUUUGAACUGGGGGAGUAAACAGAGUACCCAGAGGAAACCCCUGAAGCAGGGAGAACAUGUGAACCCCUAACCCUGGAGGUGUGAGACAAAUUUACAGAAUUUACUGCUGACAAACUCGCUUUAUUCUUCUACACCAACAAAACUCUUAAUAUAAGUUUUUUUUCUUUUAUUAUUAUUUUUUUUAAAGAGAUACAUCAGCUCAUUAUAGGUUCAAAAAUGCAGUACAACUAAAAUGCUGAACAAGACCAUCUUUAAAAAAUGUCACAAAACACUGACAAUAUAUCCUGACAUUUUGUAACAAGUAAAACAUAUAGAAAGUAAACAUAUAAAGAAGAAAUAUUGCC